Molecule: ribosomal RNA, 480 nt
Filed under: Staphylococcus aureus
Lineage: Bacteria; Bacillati; Bacillota; Bacilli; Caryophanales; Staphylococcaceae
Description: partial 23S ribosomal RNA
Rfam family: Bacterial large subunit ribosomal RNA
Source: RNAcentral
GGGUCCUAAGCUGAGGCCGACAGGCGUAGGCGAUGGAUAACAGGUUGAUAUUCCUGUACCACCUAUAAUCGUUUUAAUCGAUGGGGGGACGCAGUAGGAUAGGCGAAGCGUGCGAUUGGAUUGCACGUCUAAGCAGUAAGGCUGAGUAUUAGGCAAAUCCGGUACUCAUUAAGGCUGAGCUGUGAUGGGGAGAAGACAUUGUGUCUUCGAGUCGUUGAUUUCACACUGCCGAGAAAAGCCUCUAGAUAGAAAAUAGGUGCCCGUACCGCAAACCGACACAGGUAGUCAAGAUGAGAAUUCUAAGGUGAGCGAGCGAACUCUCGUUAAGGAACUCGGCAAAAUGACCCCGUAACUUCGGGAGAAGGGGUGCUCUUUAGGGUUAACGCCCAGAAGAGCCGCAGUGAAUAGGCCCAAGCGACUGUUUAUCAAAAACACAGGUCUCUGCUAAACCGUAAGGUGAUGUAUAGGGGCUGACGCCUG